CGGUAGUUGCCCGGACUGGUAACGGGGUACAAGCCUGACGAGGCCAUGUAUUGAUGUAGGUUCGAUUCCUGCACUACCGA
RNAcentral lists this transfer RNA (80 nucleotides) under Catenovulum agarivorans DS-2. It matches the Rfam family "tRNA". From Rfam's summary of the family: Transfer RNA (tRNA) molecules are approximately 80 nucleotides in length. Their secondary structure includes four short double-helical elements and three loops (D, anti-codon, and T loops). Further hydrogen bonds mediate the characteristic L-shaped molecular structure. tRNAs have two regions of fundamental functional importance: the anti-codon, which is responsible for specific mRNA codon recognition, and the 3' end, to which the tRNAs corresponding amino acid is attached (by aminoacyl-tRNA synthetases). tRNAs cope with the degeneracy of the genetic code in two manners: having more than one tRNA (with a specific anti-codon) for a particular amino acid; and 'wobble' base-pairing, i.e. permitting non-standard base-pairing at the 3rd anti-codon position. Lineage: Bacteria; Pseudomonadati; Pseudomonadota; Gammaproteobacteria; Alteromonadales; Alteromonadaceae. The record is from Rfam by way of RNAcentral.